This 483-nucleotide ribosomal RNA is filed under the name uncultured Escherichia sp. Its description in RNAcentral is "bacterial SSU rRNA". It matches the Rfam family "Bacterial small subunit ribosomal RNA", at positions 27 to 499 of the family's 1533-position model. Lineage: Bacteria; Pseudomonadati; Pseudomonadota; Gammaproteobacteria; Enterobacterales; Enterobacteriaceae. The record is from RNAcentral.
GAUUGAACGCUGGCGGCAAGCCUAACACAUGCAAGUCGAACGGUAACAGGAAGAAGCUUGCUUCUUUGCUGACGAGUGGCGGACGGGUGAGUAAUGUCUGGGAAACUGCCUGAUGGAGGGGGAUAACUACUGGAAACGGUAGCUAAUACCGCAUAACGUCGCAAGACCAAAGAGGGGGACCUUCGGGCCUCUUGCCAUCGGAUGUGCCCAGAUGGGAUUAGCUAGUAGGUGGGGUAACGGCUCACCUAGGCGACGAUCCCUAGCUGGUCUGAGAGGAUGACCAGCCACACUGGAACUGAGACACGGUCCAGACUCCUACGGGAGGCAGCAGUGGGGAAUAUUGCACAAUGGGCGCAAGCCUGAUGCAGCCAUGCCGCGUGUAUGAAGAAGGCCUUCGGGUUGUAAAGUACUUUCAGCGGGGAGGAAGGGAGUAAAGUUAAUACCUUUGCUCAUUGACGUUACCCGCAGAAGAAGCACCGGCUA